AGUGAACGCUGGCGGUAGGCCUAACACAUGCAAGUCGAACGGCAGCACAGUAAGAGCUUGCUCUUACGGGUGGCGAGUGGCGGACGGGUGAGGAAUACAUCGGAAUCUACUUUUUCGUGGGGGAUAACGUAGGGAAACUUACGCUAAUACCGCAUACGACCUACGGGUGAAAGCAGGGGAUCUUCGGACCUUGCGCGAUUGAAUGAGCCGAUGUCGGAUUAGCUAGUUGGCGGGGUAAAGGCCCACCAAGGCGACCAUCCGUAGCUGGUCUGAGAGGAUGAUCAGCCAAACUGGAACUGAGACACGGUCCAGACUCCUACGGGAGGCAGCAGUGGGGAAUAUUGGACAAUGGGCGCAAGCCUGAUCCAGCCAUACCGGGUGGGUGAAGAAGGCCUUCGGGUUGUAAAACCCUUUUGUUGGGAAAGAAAAGCAGCAGGUUAAUACCCCGCUGUUCUGACGGUACCCAAAGAAUAAGCACCGGCUAACUUCGUG
RNAcentral lists this ribosomal RNA (492 nucleotides) under uncultured bacterium. RNAcentral's name for it is "partial 16S ribosomal RNA". It matches the Rfam family "Bacterial small subunit ribosomal RNA", at positions 29 to 507 of the family's 1533-position model. The record is from RNAcentral.